This 442-nucleotide ribosomal RNA is filed under the name uncultured bacterium. RNAcentral describes it as "partial 16S ribosomal RNA". It matches the Rfam family "Bacterial small subunit ribosomal RNA", at positions 338 to 795 of the family's 1533-position model. The record is from RNAcentral.
CCUACGGGAGGCAGCAGUGGGGAAUAUUGGGCAAUGGGCGCAAGCCUGACCCAGCAAUGCCGCGUGAAGGAAGAAGGCUUUCGGGUUGUAAACUUCUUUGACAGGGGAAGAGCAGAAGACGGUACCCUGCAAACAAGCCACGGCUAACUACGUGCCAGCAGCCGCGGUAAUACGUAGGUGGCAAGCGUUGUCCGGAUUUACUGGGGGUAAAGGGCGUGUAGCCGGGAAGGCAAGUCAGAUGUGAAAGCCGGAGGCUCAACCUCCGAAUUGCAUUUGAAACUGUUUGUCUUGAGUACUGGAGAGGCAGACGGAAUUCCUGGUGUAGCGGGGAAAUGCGUAGAUAUAAGGAGGAACACCAGUGGCGAAGGCGGUCUGCUGGACAGCAACUGACGGUGAGGCGCGAAAGCGUGGGGAGCAAACAGGAUUAGAUACCCGUGUAGUC